Molecule: ribosomal RNA, 553 nt
Filed under: uncultured bacterium
Lineage: Bacteria
Description: partial 16S ribosomal RNA
Rfam family: Bacterial small subunit ribosomal RNA
Source: RNAcentral
UAGGGAAUCUUCCACAAUGGACGCAAGUCUGAUGGAGCAACGCCGCGUGAGUGAAGAAGGUUUUCGGAUCGUAAAGCUCUGUUGUUGGUGAAGAAGGAUAGAGGCAGUAACUGGCCUUUAUUUGACGGUAAUCAACCAGAAAGUCACGGCUAACUACGUGCCAGCAGCCGCGGUAAAUCGUAGGUGGCAAGCGUUGUCCGGAUUUAUUGGGCGUAAAGCGAGCGCAGGCGGAAGAAUAAGUCUGAUGUGAAAGCCCUCGGCUUAACCGAGGAAUUGCAUCGGAAACUGUUUUCUGAGUGCAGAAGAGGAGAGUAGAACUCCAUGUGUAGCGGUGGAAUGCGUAGAUAUAUGGAAGAAUACCAGUGGCGAAGGCGGCUCUCUGGUCUGCAACUGACGCUGAGGCUCGAAAGCAUGGGUAGCGAACAGGAUUAGAUACCCUGGUAGUCCAUGCCGUAAACGAUGAGUGCUAAGUGUUGGGAGGCUUCCGCCUCUCAGUGCUGCAGCUAACGCAUUAAGCACUCCGCCUGGGGGAGUACGACCGCAAGGUUGAAAC